RNAcentral lists this ribosomal RNA (376 nucleotides) under uncultured Bacteriovoracaceae bacterium. RNAcentral describes it as "bacterial SSU rRNA". It matches the Rfam family "Bacterial small subunit ribosomal RNA", at positions 523 to 898 of the family's 1533-position model. Lineage: Bacteria; Pseudomonadati; Bdellovibrionota; Bacteriovoracia; Bacteriovoracales; Bacteriovoracaceae. The record is from RNAcentral.
AUACGAAGGGUGCAAGCGUUAUUCGGAUUUACUGGGCGUAAAGCGCGCGCAGGCGGAUUAGUAAGUCAGAUGUGAAAUCUCGGGGCUCAACCCCGAAACUGCGUCUGAAACUACUAAUCUAGAGUUAUGGAGGGGGAAGUGGAAUUUCGCAUGUAGGGGUAAAAUCCGUAGAGAUGCGAAGGAACACCAGAGGCGAAGGCGACUUCCUGGCCAUUAACUGACGCUGAGGCGCGAAAGCGUGGGGAGCAAACAGGAUUAGAUACCCUGGUAGUCCACGCCGUAAACGAUGUGCACUAGAUUUGGGGGGUUUGACCCCUUCCGAGUCGCAGCUAACGCAUUAAGUGCACCGCCUGGGGAGUACGGUCGCAAGACUAAA